Odobenus rosmarus divergens (Pacific walrus) is the source of this 1129-nucleotide RNA transcript. It is a transcript of the gene named olfactory receptor 226-like, with no coding region annotated. The transcript has a single exon. NCBI's taxonomy places the organism in Eukaryota, Metazoa, Chordata, Mammalia, Carnivora, Odobenidae. The record is from RefSeq and is a predicted model, not a curated record.
GGCUGGGUUCUUGCUGUUGGCACCUGAAGAUUCUCUGUUCUCUCUCCUGAAGAGCAGUGGGCAACACUGACACCAUGGAGCAGAGGAACCAGAGUGGAAGGGUAAGUGAGUUUGUGUUGCUGGGCUUCCCAGCUCCUCCACCAGUGCAGGCACUUUUAUUUGCCUUUUCUCUGCUGGCCUAUGUGUUGGUGCUAACUGAAAAUACACUCAUCAUUAUGGCAAUUAGGAACCACCCCACCCUUCACAAACCCAUGUACUUCUUUCUGGCUAAUAUGUCCUUCUUGGAGAUCUGGUAUGUUACUGUCACUAUUCCCAAGAUGUUAGCUGGCUUUGUUGGCUCCAAACAGAGCCAUGGACAGCUGAUCUCCUUUGAGGGCUGCAUGACACAGCUCUACUUUUUCCUGGGACUGGGCUGCACUGAGUGUGUCCUUCUGGCUGUUAUGGCCUAUGACCGCUAUGUGGCCAUCGGCCACCCUCUCCACUACACUGUCAUUGUCAGUGGCCGACUGUAUGUGCAGGUGGCAGCUGGCUCCUGGGCUGGAGGUUUUAGCAUCUCCAUGGUCAAGGUUUUUCUCAUUUCUCACCUCUCCUACUGUGGACCCAACAUCAUCAACCACUUUUUCUGUGAUGUCUCCCCAUUGCUCAAUCUUUCAUGCACUGACAUGUCAACAGCAGAGCUUACAGACUUUGUUCUGGCCAUUUUUAUCCUGCUGGGGCCCCUCUCUGUCACUGGGGCCUCCUACAUGGCCAUCACUUGUGCUCUGGUGCGCAUUCCUUCAGCUGCUGGGCGCCGUAAAGCCUUUUCCACCUGUGCCUCUCACCUCACUGUUGUGAUCAUCUUCUAUGCUGCCGUAUCUUCAUCUAUGCCCGGCCAAAGGCACUCUCAACUUUUGACACCAACAAGCUGGUUUCUGUACUCUAUGCUGUCAUUGUACCAUUGCUUAACCCUAUCAUUUACUGCUUGCGCAAUCAAGAGGUCAAGAGAGCCCUACGCCAUACUCUGCACCUAUUCCAGGGCCAGGAUGCUAAGCAUGGGAAAGCUAGCAGACAUAGGUAGAAAAUGCUCUUAAACUUGGGAUCUAUAUCUUUUAAGUCCAGAGAAGUUCUUAUGGCCUAAAUUAGGGACUAG